This 1563-nucleotide long non-coding RNA is filed under the name Salmo salar (Atlantic salmon). RNAcentral's name for it is "lncRNA (ENSSSAG00000117869.1)". Lineage: Eukaryota; Metazoa; Chordata; Actinopteri; Salmoniformes; Salmonidae. The record is from RNAcentral.
GACACCAGUCUGAUUCGCACCCAUCUCGGUGAACUAAUCCUUUGCAGAGGCCGCAGGCCUGGCACAGUCCAAGAAGGGGAGUGAGGCGAAAAGCACAUUUGUGUUCGAUCUGAAAAUGUGGUUCGGAAGCGCCGUUAGGAUGAGGCUGUGACGCAAUUGCCAUACGGAGACCAAAUUGAGCUCCGCACCGCGUCGCCCAAAUGUUGUAACAAUGCUCCGGUAUAGCUCCGCAUUGACAUGAUCGGUUGACGGUAGUAGGUGAGGGCAGGAAGUCCUGUACAACAGCUCUGCUCAGCGAAGCCCUGACUUCAGCAGUGGCCGUAUCGCAGUAAAUGCUUCUACGGCCACUACUGCAACAACAGAAAAAAAUCAGAUUAUACAUGCAGAGCAUUAAAAAAAAAGGUUUCUGCAUGGAUAAUCCCACGACUGCAGUGGGCCGUACAGCAUUUACGGCGAUACCGUCUCUGCAGCAGUCAAGGGCAUUCGUACUACUUGCGCUUCGCUGAGGAAAGCAUGUUUAAAAUGUACUGACUGACAAGGUCUCUAAAUCUAUUGGUCAUCAGAGUACCACUGCUAAAUCUGAGGGGAGUAUAGAGGAGUACUGGAACUGAAUUAUGAAUACAGCGGGUUAGGUCUGUGAAUAGAGGAGACGUUGUGGAAAACGGACUGACUGAAAAUACGUCGCUACUGGCGUUGUACAGAUGGAUGACUACCGGACUCAAUACUGUAACACUGUCUCAACCUAAACCCCUCUUAUGGAGCAGCAGAGUGAAAUGUAAGAGAACUGAAUCGGGGAUGAGGGAGGACGGGGAACGAGUGAACACAACUAGGACGAGGAGAAUAAAAAUGGGCCAACUUUCCUCCCUCCAUUAGCCAACGUCCUUAGGGACUGAUGACAUCAUUCCAUCACUUCCUGCCUCCAACCCCAUGUCGCCAUCAUCCCGAAGAGCAGAGCCCAGAAGCCAUUGUGUGUGUGGUGUGUUUGAUUGUAUAUUCUGACUUCAAAAAGGUCUGAUUUGGAUUAUUUUUUUUUGCAGGUGGAUCAAAUUAUUUUCUGCAUAAAUUUCAUAGAUAAAUGUAUAAAAUAUCCAUCUUCCUUCUUUAUUAUUGUCCCCUAACUGUACCACCCCUCUCCUAAUUGUAAACUAAUGAACAAUACUACUUAGGCUUCCACUUUCUACUAAACAUUUCAGACAGUGUAUUUUACAUUAGUUAUCUUGUUGUUUUUAGUCACAUCCUUCAGCUCCCAUCUAUCUCUGAACACCAUCCAGUCCCAUCCUCCAGCACCCCUCAACCCCUCCAUCUAUCUCUGAACACCAUCCAGUUCAUUUCUAGCUGCCCUCAACCCCUCCAUCUAUCUCCCCUAUAUUUUUCCACUGUGCUGUUUCACAAAAGUUCGGAACAUUUAAAUGUUCAUAGUUUCUACAGAAUGUAAAUUAAAAAGAUGAACAGCUUUGUUAAUAGUAUUAUAUUAUUGAUCGAUUAACUAUGACUUAUCAAAUAAAUAAAAAAAGCAUAUGGGCAGUACCAAAACAAGUGCUGUAAAAACUGGACCGCUCCAUC